RNAcentral lists this transfer RNA (72 nucleotides) under Ictidomys tridecemlineatus (thirteen-lined ground squirrel). RNAcentral describes it as "Spermophilus tridecemlineatus (thirteen-lined ground squirrel) tRNA". It matches the Rfam family "tRNA". Rfam says of the family: Transfer RNA (tRNA) molecules are approximately 80 nucleotides in length. Their secondary structure includes four short double-helical elements and three loops (D, anti-codon, and T loops). Lineage: Eukaryota; Metazoa; Chordata; Mammalia; Rodentia; Sciuridae. RNAcentral also lists the same sequence under 1 other name. The record is from Rfam by way of RNAcentral.
UGGGUUGUGGCUCAGUGGUAGAGCACUUGCCUCGCAGGUAUGAGGCCCUGGGUUCAAACCUCAGCACCACAU